AGCUUGCUAUCAGGCGUCGAGCGGCGGACGGGUGAGUAAUACUUAGGAAUCUACCUAGUAGUGGGGGAUAGCACGGGGAAACUCGUAUUAAUACCGCAUACGACCUACGGGAGAAAGGGGGCAGUUUACUGCUCUCGCUAUUAGAUGAGCCUAAGUCGGAUUAGCUAGAUGGUGGGGUAAAGGCCUACCAUGGCGACGAUCUGUAGCUGGUCUGAGAGGAUGAUCAGCCACACCGGGACUGAGACACGGCCCGGACUCCUACGGGAGGCAGCAGUGGGGAAUAUUGGACAAUGGGGGAAACCCUGAUCCAGCCAUGCCGCGUGUGUGAAGAAGGCCUUUUGGUUGUAAAGCACUUUAAGCAGUGAAGAAGACUCCGUGGUUAAUACCCACGGACGAUGACAUUAGCUGCAGAAUAAGCACCGGCUAACUCUGUGCCAGCAGCCGCGGUAAUACAGAGGGUGCAAGCGUUAAUCGGAAUUACUGGGCGUAAAGGGAGCGUAGGUGGCUCUAUAAGUCAGAUGUGAAAUCCCCGGGCUUAACCUGGGAACUGCAUCUGAAACUGUAGAGCUAGAGUAUGUGAGAGGAAGGUAGAAUUCCAGGUGUAGCGGUGAAAUGCGUAGAGAUAUGGAGGAAUACCGAUGGCGAAGGCAGCCUUCUGGCAUAAUACUGACACUGAGGCUCGAAAGCGUGGGUAGCAAACAGGAUUAGAUACCCUGGUAGUCCACGCCGUAAACGAUGUCGUACUAGUCGUUGGGUCCCUUGAGGACUUAGUGACGCAGCUAACGCAAUAAGUAGACCGCCUGGGGAGUACGGCCGCAAGGUUAAAACUCAAAUGAAUUGACGGGGGCCCGCACAAGCGGUGGAGCAUGUGGUUUAAUUCGAUGCAACGCGAAGAACCUUACCUGGUCUUGACAUAUCUAGAAUCCUGCAGAGAUGCGGGAGUGCCUUCGGGAAUUAGAAUACAGGUGGUGCAUGGCUGUCGUCAGCUCGUGUCGUGAGAUGUUGGGUUAAGUCCCGCAACGAGCGCAACCCUUGUCCUUAGUUACCAGCGGGUUAAGCCGGGAACUCUAAGGAUACUGCCAGUGACAAACUGGAGGAAGGCGGGGACGACGUCAAGUCAUCAUGGCCCUUACGACCAGGGCUACACACGUGCUACAAUGGUAGGUACAGAGGGCAGCUACACAGCGAUGUGAUGCGAAUCUCAAAAAGCCUAUCGUAGUCCAGAUUGGAGUCUGCAACUCGACUCCAUGAAGUAGGAAUCGCUAGUAAUCGCGGAUCAGAAUGCCGCGGUGAAUACGUUCCCGGGCCUUGUACACACCGCCCGUCACACCAUGGGAGUUGAUUGCACCAGAAGUGGAUAGCUUA
Molecule: ribosomal RNA, 1365 nt
Filed under: Acinetobacter sp. enrichment culture clone PH108
Lineage: Bacteria; Pseudomonadati; Pseudomonadota; Gammaproteobacteria; Moraxellales; Moraxellaceae
Description: 16S ribosomal RNA
Rfam family: Bacterial small subunit ribosomal RNA
Source: RNAcentral